This 433-nucleotide ribosomal RNA is filed under the name uncultured bacterium. RNAcentral's name for it is "partial 16S ribosomal RNA". It matches the Rfam family "Bacterial small subunit ribosomal RNA", at positions 29 to 507 of the family's 1533-position model. The record is from RNAcentral.
AACGAACGCUGGCGGCAUGCCUAACACAUGCAAGUCGAACGAAACCUUCGGGUCUUGUGGCGCACGGGUGCGUAACGCGUGGGAACCUGCCCUUAGGUUCGGAAUAACUCCCCGAAAGGGGUGCUAAUACCGGAUAAUGUCUUCGGACCAAAGAUUUAUCGCCUUUGGAUGGGCCCGCGUUGGAUUAGCUAGUUGGUAGGGUAAAAGCCUACCAAGGCGACGAUCCAUAGCUGGUCUGAGAGGAUGAUCAGCCACACUGGGACUGAGACACGGCCCAGAAUCCUACGGGAGGCAGCAGUGGGGAAUAUUGGACAAUGGGCGAAAGGCUGAUCCAGCAAUGCCGCGUAAGUGAUGAAGGCCUUAGGGUUGUAAAGCUCUUUUACCCGGGAUGAUAAUGACAGUACCGGGAGAAUAAGCUCCGGCUAACUCCGUG